Molecule: ribosomal RNA, 437 nt
Filed under: uncultured bacterium
Lineage: Bacteria
Description: bacterial SSU rRNA
Rfam family: Bacterial small subunit ribosomal RNA
Source: RNAcentral
AACGCGAAGAACCUUACCGAGGCUUGACAUCCCUUGUAAGCCGUAGAAAUACGGUCCCCGUAGCAAUACGGCAAGGAGACAGGUGCUGCAUGGCUGUCGUCAGCUCGUGCCGUGAGGUGUUGGGUUAAGUCCCGCAACGAGCGCAACCCUCGUCGUGUGUUGGUCCGCAAGGAUCUCUCACGCGAGACCGCCGGUGAGAAGCCGGAGGAAGGUGGGGAUGACGUCAAGUCAGCAUGGCCCUUACGUCUCGGGCUACACACGUGCUACAAUGGGUGGGACAACGAGUUCCGAGCUCGCGAGGGUAAGGCAAUCUCUUAAACCCAUCCUCAGUUCGGAUUGAAGGCUGCAACUCGCCUUCAUGAAGUCGGAAUCGCUAGUAAACGCAGAUCAGCUACGCUGCGUUGAAUACGUUCCCGGGCCUUGUACACACCGACAUA